GAAGCCUAGUUUCACCUGGCCUAUAAGCCUAGUUUCCACACUCGCCCCUAAGCCUAGUUUCACCUGGUACAUAAGCCCAGCUCGCCUGGCCCCUAAGCCCAGUUUCACCUGGCCCAUAAGCCCAGUUUCCACACUGGCCCCUAAGCCCAGUUUCACCUGGAACAUAAGCCCAGCUCGCCUAGCCCCUAAGCCCAGUUUCGCCUGGCCCCAAAGCCCAGUUUCUACACUGGCCCCCAAG
This 238-nucleotide long non-coding RNA is filed under the name Vigna radiata. RNAcentral's name for it is "long non-coding RNA (VRAD_LNC001002)". Lineage: Eukaryota; Viridiplantae; Streptophyta; Magnoliopsida; Fabales; Fabaceae. The record is from RNAcentral.